AGUGAACGCUGGCGGUAGGCCUAACACAUGCAAGUCGAACGGCAGCACAGUAAGAGCUUGCUCUUACGGGUGGCGAGUGGCGGACGGGUGAGGAAUACAUCGGAAUCUACUUUUUCGUGGGGGGUAACGUAGGGAAACUUACGCUAAUACCGCAUAGGACCUACGGGUGAAAGCAGGGGAUCUUCGGACCUUGCGCGAUUGAAUGAGCCGAUGUCGGAUUAGCUAGUUGGCGGGGUAAAGGCCCACCAAGGCGACGAUCCGUAGCUGGUCUGAGAGGAUGAUCAGCCACACUGGAACUGAGACACGGUCCAGACUCCUACAGGAGGCAGCAGUGGGGAAUAUUGGACAAUGGGGGCAAGCCUGCUCCAGCCAUACCGCGUGGGUGAAGAAGGCCUUCGGGUUGUAAAGCCCUUUUGUUGGGAAAGAAAAGCAGCAGGUUAAUACCCCGCUGUUCUGACGGUACCCAAAGAAUAAGCACCGGCUAACUUCGUG
RNAcentral lists this ribosomal RNA (492 nucleotides) under uncultured bacterium. Its description in RNAcentral is "partial 16S ribosomal RNA". It matches the Rfam family "Bacterial small subunit ribosomal RNA", at positions 29 to 507 of the family's 1533-position model. The record is from RNAcentral.